This 729-nucleotide ribosomal RNA is filed under the name Salmonella enterica subsp. enterica. RNAcentral's name for it is "bacterial LSU rRNA". It matches the Rfam family "Bacterial large subunit ribosomal RNA", at positions 1156 to 1867 of the family's 2925-position model. Lineage: Bacteria; Pseudomonadati; Pseudomonadota; Gammaproteobacteria; Enterobacterales; Enterobacteriaceae. The record is from RNAcentral.
GGCCUGCGCGGAAGAUGUAACGGGGCUAAACCAUGCACCGAAGCUGCGGCAGCGACACUCAGGUGUUGUUGGGUAGGGGAGCGUUCUGUAAGCCUGUGAAGGUGUGUCGUGAGGCAUGCUGGAGGUAUCAGAAGUGCGAAUGCUGACAUAAGUAACGAUAAAGCGGGUGAAAAGCCCGCUCGCCGGAAGACCAAGGGUUCCUGUCCAACGUUAAUCGGGGCAGGGUGAGUCGACCCCUAAGGCGAGGCCGAAAGGCGUAGUCGAUGGGAAACGGGUUAAUAUUCCCGUACUUGGUGUUACUGCGAAGGGGGGACGGAGAAGGCUAUGUUGGCCGGGCGACGGUUGUCCCGGUUUAAGCGUGUAGGUGUGUGUUCCAGGUAAAUCCGGUUCACUUUAACACUGAGGCGUGACGACGAGGCACUACGGUGCUGAAGCAACAAAUGCCCUGCUUCCAGGAAAAGCCUCUAAGCAUCAGGUAACAUCAAAUCGUACCCCAAACCGACACAGGUGGUCAGGUAGAGAAUACCAAGGCGCUUGAGAGAACUCGGGUGAAGGAACUAGGCAAAAUGGUGCCGUAACUUCGGGAGAAGGCACGCUGACACGUAGGUGAAGUGAUUUACUCAUGGAGCUGAAGUCAGUCGAAGAUACCAGCUGGCUGCAACUGUUUAUUAAAAACACAGCACUGUGCAAACACGAAAGUGGACGUAUACGGUGUGACGCCUGCCCGGU